CCAACGGCCUGCUGUACGUGAUUGGCGGCGACCAGAACCGACAGCUGAGCGACUUCUACCGCGCAGAGAUCACCGUUUCUGCUGUCGAGGUGUACGACCCGCUGUCGGGCGAGUGGAGCGACUCGACGCCGCUGCCCGAGUCGCGCAGCGAGGCGGGCGCCGUCGUCAUAUGACCGCGGCCGCCGCCUCGCCUCGCUGACGUCGUCAGCGCUCGUCCAGUGGUGGCCUGAUGCCGACGUCGACGUGCGACCAGUGACGUCAUUGGCGCUGCGACGUCAUCGCAAGGCCAAGCUGCGGGCCAAUGGUGGAGACCGGUGGACACUCGGGUCUGGUGCGACUCAGAGCCGUCGAAUAUUACGGGAUUGGGUUCGGCGGCUGCGCUCGUGUGCAGCUCUGUACCGCGAGAUCUAGCCUGGAGAAACUUAAGCUUCGCAAGGCUGAAAGUAGUUUUAGCCCUGGUUUGUGAUUGGUGUUGCGCAGUAUGCUGCUGGCGAGGGCGACUGUCGUAGCCGUGUGGUAGUGGUCUGAGCUUUACGACGUGCUUCGCUGCCAGUCGGUUGCUUGUCCCGCGUGUGCGCCUCCUGACCGUGCCACGUGGGUCGGUGUUUUUGCUACCGCGUGUCGUCAUCCUGCGUCGUACGGCUUGCUGGCUGUGUGGCGGGUCCCUAGAGGCACCUAGACGGGACCCUGCGCCGCGGGCGGGCCCCUGCCGCGCCGUCGGCUGCACCGCCCCAGUGGCUGUGUCCCGUCCGUGCUUUGGUGUGGUGGCGGCGGUGGAAUCGGCUGGCGUCGGGCACAGAGGCGGUCCCGGAGAUCCACGAGGGCGGUGCCUUUCUCGGUGUAGAGAUAUGCGUGGUGCGUGAUUGCCACUCUUCGCUCUGUUGGACCUCCUUGCGUGCGAUGUUGUUUGGGGGCUACUGUAUGUCAAAGCUGCACCUUGUAACAGCGAGCUUUCAGUUACUGUCAUCGCCUCGUCUUCAGGCUACGGAUGUGCGCAGAGGACCGGGGUUUCGUCGAUAUAUGUUUACUGUACUUGUUACAAUGACUAUGAUUAGACAUGUAGAAUUGCAGGGUGUGGGCAGACCUUAUCUGGCGUCGGCAGGCUACAUUAUUAUUGAUAGCACGCCGCCUUUGAGUAGAGAUCUGUCACUUAUUGCUGGUCCACUUUACUUACGUUGAGGGCACACUGUUCGAGAAGGCAAAGGCAGUCACGUACGCGUGCUGGUGCCUUGAGACACUCCCUCGCGCCUGCUGCAGGAUCACGGAUAUGAACGGAAACUAACGCGAAUCUGCGCUGAGCUUUGUUUUGUUUGCAAAUGCGCGUUUUCCAACUGUAGGAUUGACAACGUGCAUUAGCUACAUGACUGCAUGUUAAACAUCUAUCAAAAGCCGUUCCUACCCCCUGCCCAAUUUCCAUGUUCGUACGCAUCCACUCGCGUGUUAGUUUGUUCUGUGAACAAGAUAGUGAGGUGGAAAGAGCGCUUACUAAGCUUAGCACAAAUGGUCCGACUGUGAAGCUGUAGAACAAACAUUGGGUGUGUUGUGUUAUCUGGUGAUCUGACCUUACGGUUGGAUCGCUCCGUCGCUAGGCGAGAGGCUCCACCAGAGACCUCACGUUUUUUACCGCAUUGGUUAUAUCUCGCCCCGUGAUCGUGCUUGUUUUCGGGUGUUGCGGGCCGGCCGCAUGGGCUCGUGUGCAUCGUCGCCAGAGCCAUGCGUGUGAGGAAGAACAGGGGUGAAGGUCACCCUGGACGUUCGGCCGGGCUCGAUGCGCACCUUUAGUUGUUGUGAUAUGUCCACCAAAUAUAUUAGUUGAUCCGUC
Long non-coding RNA from Pollicipes pollicipes, 1822 nucleotides. RefSeq lists it as uncharacterized. Lineage: Eukaryota; Metazoa; Arthropoda; Thecostraca; Pollicipedomorpha; Pollicipedidae. The record is from RefSeq and is a predicted model, not a curated record. The transcript has 2 exons.